UCGAGUGACUCACUCCGGCUCGACUCUCCCACCCUAUGUGUACCUCCUCUGUGCUUUGGCGGGCCGCGGUCCUCCGCACCGGCCCCCCUUCGGGGGCUGGCCAGCGCCCGCCAGAGGACCACAAAACCCAGCAGUAAACGUCCAGCUGAAAAACAAGUUAAUAAACUAAAACUUCAACAACGGAUCUCUGGUCUGGCAUCGAUGAAGAACGCAGCGAAUGCGAUAAGUAAUGUGAUGCAGAAUUCAGUGAACAUCGAAUCUUGAACGCACAUGCGCCCCUUGGUAUUCCGAGGGGCAUGCCUGUUCGAGCGUCAUUCAACCCUCAAGCUCUGCUUGGUAUUGGGCUCCGUCCUCCACGGACGCGCCUCGAAGACCUCGGCGGUGGCGUCUUGCCUCGAGCGUAGUAGAAACACCUCGCUUGGAGCGCACGGCGUCGCCCGCCGACGAACCUUGGAUUUUCAGUUGACCUCGGAUCAGGUAGGAU
Molecule: ribosomal RNA, 484 nt
Filed under: Botryosphaeria dothidea
Lineage: Eukaryota; Fungi; Ascomycota; Dothideomycetes; Botryosphaeriales; Botryosphaeriaceae
Description: eukaryotic LSU rRNA
Rfam family: 5.8S ribosomal RNA (bases 169-314)
Source: RNAcentral